UACGUAGGGGGCAAGCGUUGUCCGGAAUCAUUGGGCGUAAAGCGCGUGUAGGCGGUUCGGUAAGUCUGCUGUGAAAGUCCAGGGCUCAACCCUGGGAUGCCGGUGGAUACUGUCGGACUAGAGUACGGAAGAGGCGAGUGGAAUUCCCGGUGUAGCGGUGAAAUGCGCAGAUAUCAGGAGGAACACCGAUGGCGAAGGCAGCUCGCUGGGACGGUACUGACGCUGAGGCGCGAAAGCGUGGGGAGCGAACAGG
RNAcentral lists this ribosomal RNA (253 nucleotides) under uncultured bacterium. RNAcentral's name for it is "partial 16S ribosomal RNA". It matches the Rfam family "Bacterial small subunit ribosomal RNA", at positions 524 to 776 of the family's 1533-position model. The record is from RNAcentral.